This 497-nucleotide ribosomal RNA is filed under the name uncultured bacterium. Its description in RNAcentral is "partial 16S ribosomal RNA". It matches the Rfam family "Bacterial small subunit ribosomal RNA", at positions 28 to 507 of the family's 1533-position model. The record is from RNAcentral.
GAUGAACGCUGGCGGCGUGCCUAAUACAUGCAAGUCGAGCGAACAGACGAGGAGCUUGCUCCUCUGACGUUAGCGGCGGACGGGUGAGUAACACGUGGAUAACCUACCUAUAACACUGGGAUAACUUCGGGAAACCGGAGCUAAUACCGGAUAAUAUAUUGAACCGCAUGGUUCAAUAGUGAAAGACGGUUUUGCUGUCACUUCUAGAUGGAUCCGCGCCGCAUUAGCUAGUUGGUAAGGUAACGGCUUACCAAGGCAACGAUGCGUAGCCGACCUGAGAGGGGGAUCGGCCACACUGGAACUGAGACACGGUCCAGACUCCUACGGGAGGCAGCAGUAGGGAAUCGGCCGCAAUGGGCGAAAGCCUGACGGAGCAACGCCGCGUGAGUGAUGAAGGUCUUCGGAUCGUAAAACUCUGUUAUUAGGGAAGAACAAAUGUGUAAGUAACUAUGCACGUCUUGACGGUACCUAAUCAGAAAGCCACGGCUAACUACGUG